This 388-nucleotide ribosomal RNA is filed under the name uncultured bacterium. RNAcentral's name for it is "bacterial SSU rRNA". It matches the Rfam family "Bacterial small subunit ribosomal RNA", at positions 28 to 417 of the family's 1533-position model. The record is from RNAcentral.
GACGAACGCUGGCGGCGUGCUUAACACAUGCAAGUCGAGCGGUAAGGCCCUUUCGGGGGUACACGAGCGGCGAACGGGUGAGUAACACGUGGGUGACCUGCCCUCAGUUCUGGGAUAAGCCUGGGAAACCGGGUCUAAUACUGGAUAUGACCUCAUGACGCAUGUUGUGGGGUGGAAAGCCUUGUGCGACUGAGGAUGGGCCCGCGGCCUAUCAGCUUGUUGGUGGGGUGAUGGCCUACCAAGGCGACGACGGGUAGCCGGCCUGGGAGGGCGACCGGCCACACUGGGACUGAGACACGGCCCAGACUCCUACGGGAGGCAGCAGUGGGGAAUCCUGCGCAAUGGGCGAAAGCCUGACGCAGCGACGCCGCGUGAGGGAUGACGGCCU